UCCGGAUCGAAGUAGGCAAACAUGGCUGAGCCGACCUCAGAGCCUUGAGUAAAGGAAAUGCUCACUAACCUCUCUCUCUGAUGAAGGAUCCACUCCAGGCUAGUCCUUAUCGUGCCACAUAGAGGUCUUCACGACCCAUGAUCUUGAUGUAGUCCAUGAACUCCAAGAGAUGAAUCGAUGGAUAGAGGCAUUGUAACAUUAGGUAGUGGAUCG
RNAcentral lists this long non-coding RNA (213 nucleotides) under Elaeis guineensis (African oil palm). Its description in RNAcentral is "long non-coding RNA (EGUI_LNC009981)". Lineage: Eukaryota; Viridiplantae; Streptophyta; Magnoliopsida; Arecales; Arecaceae. The record is from RNAcentral.